GGCGUCAGGAGUGAGCGCUGGCGGCGUGCUUAACACAUGCAAGUCGAACCGGAGGACCCCCGUACGUACGGAAGUUUUCGGUACGAACUGAAGGGAAUCCUUAGUGGCGGACGGGUGAGUAACGCGUGAGCACUAACUUGGAUGGGGAGUACAGCUGAACAGCUGCUAAUACCGCAUGAUAUGUCUGUAUCACAUGGUACUGGACAUCAAAGAUCUAUCGCUCUGAGAUGGGCUCGCGUCUGAUUAGCUAGUUGGUGAGGUAACGGCCCACCAAGGCGACGAUCAGUAGCCGGACUGAGGGGUUGGCCGGCCACAUUGGGACUGAGACACGGCCCAGACUCCUACGGGAGGCAGCAGUGGGGAAUAUUGGGCAAUGGGCGCAAGCCUGACCCAGCAACGCCGCGUGAAGGAAGAAGGCUCUCGGGUUGUAAACUUCUUUUAUCAGGGACGAAGCAAGUGACGGUACCUGAUGAAUAAGCCACGGCUAACUACGUG
RNAcentral lists this ribosomal RNA (495 nucleotides) under uncultured Oscillospiraceae bacterium. Its description in RNAcentral is "bacterial SSU rRNA". It matches the Rfam family "Bacterial small subunit ribosomal RNA", at positions 27 to 507 of the family's 1533-position model. Lineage: Bacteria; Bacillati; Bacillota; Clostridia; Eubacteriales; Oscillospiraceae. The record is from RNAcentral.